AUUAUGAGUUGUGCUUUUGCCUAUUUAUACUGUCGACUCUCGAGAAGAGUUUUGAGUUGUUAAAUGUUUUGCAUGCUUCUAAGCUUUGAGUAACUUUACUCACAUGCUAAGUUUUUCAAAGAGUUGUCAUUGAUUGCAUUAAAAAACACUUCUUUUGUUUUUCUGAUUAUUUGAGAGGUGUCCUUUCUACAUCUCAUGAUAGGAAUAUCAAUGGAGUUGAUUGGUAUGACUCGUCUAUACAUUGACCAAUUAGUAAUAGUCAUAUUUUGAUUCUUUCUGAUAAUGACUUGCUCUGCCUCUGAUGUUUUUUUUUUUCUUUGAUAAUCUAUAUGAAGAACAAAGACUGAACCCUACAUUGUGCAAUCAUGUCGAAUUCCUUAAAUGCUGGGCACUGGACGGAUCCCCAACUGUGGAGGGAAUGAAGGCAUAGAGGUGGCUUCCAAUCUCAUGAGGUCGGUUAAAUUGUUUUCGACAGUAGCUUACAUGUUAAAGGCAGGUGAAAUAUGAAAAUGAGAUACAGUUUACCCAGUUUAUAAAGCCUUUUAGUGUGAUAUUGGUAUAUGUUAUAUUGUGUUUUUUUAAAGUAUUUUUUAAAUUGAAAAUAUAUUAAAAAAUUAUUUUUUAAAAUUUUAUUUUAUUUUUAAAAUCUAACAAAAAAAAAUGAUUGUGAGAUAUAUAAGCAGGAAAAUGUCAAACGUGAGCAUGUAAAAAUGAAUUGAAAUUUCCUUGUGAGCAAAUAAAGAUAAAUUAGCAAGAAAAAAAAGAAGGAAAUCUUGGUUAAUUUUUUUUGUACAUUGAUAAAUUACUUAACAUGGAGAUCCUAUCUUCUCAUCAAAGAAAACAUAUAAAAAUGACUUGGCCAACUCUGGAAGAAGCAACCUGGGUGAUCUGUACUGCACUGAUGGGAUGAACUGCAUAAUAUAUCAAGAGAUCAAAUUUACAUCAUUGUCUAUAAUAUAUUAAGAGAUUCUUGGAGAUUUCAUUCUUAAGAUUUCUCAGAUUCUCAUGAAUACUGAAAUCAUAGAAAAUAUUUUCUCGAUUUAGGUAGUUUUUGAGGGCUAAAUUCAAGUCAUUCAUCUUCACAACUCUUAACCUGACUUUGUUUCCAUGCAAGUUGGCGGGGCUAGUGGUUGUUGCUUAUAUAUGACAAAAGGAAUUUGCAGAGCAGAAAUGAGCAUGAAAGCAGGUCCUCAAAAAUAAAAAAGGGCAACCUUCUUAUCACACUGUAAUACAUCAAGCUGUCUCAGAAGCACAAGCACCAAUUCAAGAAUUGACAAAUACAAUAGAGAAUUUCUAUUUCAUCACUUUCCCUUUUCCAUUUUGUUCAAGAAACAAAAACCAGAACCAUCAUUUUUACUACAAGGUGGACAAAAUUGUUAUACAUUGGAGACCAGAUUUCAGCCCCUUCCCAACAACCAAAAAUUUGCAAAAAGAAUGAACAAAUUGGUUUCUCUUCAAAACUGUAUUUUCUGUGUAACCUACACUUUCAUCAAAACACCAGGUGCAAAAUCAGUAUUGCAACAUAACUUCAGUAAACAAAAGAUAACAAGUAGAAACUGCGAGAAAGCCCAGACCAAAUAUUCCCAAUUCUUCUGGCUUCACAAUUCACACCAGAGCUGCUCGUGGACCAGAGGUGGGGUGUGGCUGACUUGACAGGUAGUAAAUGUACACUUUUCAAUCUGCAACGAGGAAAGAAAAUCAACUUGAAACAUUGUUCUAAGUGCAUGCCCCCCCACCUUUUAUUUCUACGGAAAAUUUGCCAUCAAUAACUGAAAUGGGAGCUUUUGUGGUGAUUAAUUCCCUGUUUUUAUAUUGGAGACUGGGUUUUCAUCGUCAGAGAAUGUUUAUGUUGUUGGGCAGCAAGUGCAAAAAUUAAGACUAGGCAAGUGACAACGCAGAGCAUAAAUUCCUGCUCCUGUUUCUCCAGUUUUCUAGCAGAAUGUUCCUAAACCAAGACAAACAAGUUUAAGCGCUGAUAGAAACUGACAUAGAAGAAGUCAUUUUAUAAUGUGAACAAAAAUGAAUGACUGCCCUUAGCAGAGAUGGUAAUAACUCAUAAAGAAGAAAGUAUUAAGUCCGUUUGCUGAUGCAAGUAGUGGUUAUUUGGCUUUCUAGGUUUCCCUUGGAGGAUGAAAUGGGGUCAAAGCAGGACUUAGGUUCAAAUAUAUGUCCACUCAACACCCAAAAACACACUUAUGGCGGACAUUACAGAAAGAGACGGAGAUAGAGGAGAGCAGAUAAUAAAUUACACUUCGAUGCACU
This 2262-nucleotide long non-coding RNA is filed under the name Populus trichocarpa (black cottonwood). Its description in RNAcentral is "long non-coding RNA (PTRI_LNC001423)". The record is from RNAcentral. Lineage: Eukaryota; Viridiplantae; Streptophyta; Magnoliopsida; Malpighiales; Salicaceae.